Molecule: long non-coding RNA, 9400 nt
Filed under: Nicotiana benthamiana
Lineage: Eukaryota; Viridiplantae; Streptophyta; Magnoliopsida; Solanales; Solanaceae
Description: long non-coding RNA (NBEN_LNC035373)
Source: RNAcentral
AAAGAGAGAGGAGACGUCGGGUCCUGCGGAUGCCUGCAAGGCUACCUCGGUGUCUCGAUGAUCAAAAGCUAACAUCCGCACUACUGUUGUUGCUGUCCAAAACAUGUAUCUGCGCAAAAAGAGCGCAGAGUGUAGCAUCAGCACAAUCGACCCCAUGUGCUGGUAAGUGCCCGGCCUAUCCCGACGAAGUAGUGACAAGGCUAGGACCAGACACUCACAAGAACCUGUACAGUUUAAAAUAUAUAUGUACAACAAAACCAUGUGAAACAAUAUUUAAUAUUUGGGAAGGAAAAAAAUGCUCUGGGGUAAUAACAAAAUAUAAUAAUAGUUGAAGAAUAAAUGAACUUCAAUUAAUGAGGACGAGUAAAUCAAAAUCUGCACGGCACCAACCAUCGUGCUUUUACUCUCGUUAUCACCAAAUAAUCAAUCAAGAUGUACUACAUCACCAAUCGUACUUUUACUCUCGUUCUCAACAAAUAAUCAAUCAAGAUGUACAGCAUCAUCCAUCGUACUUUUACUCUCGUUCUCACCAAAUAAUCAACCAAGAUGUAUGGCAUCACCCAUCGUACUUUUACUCGCACACUCUCAUAUCAAGGCACGGAAAUACCCAUCGUGCAUAAUCACUCUUCCUUGUCGCCGACAACUUUGGACAAUAACAAUAAUCAUUGUAAUAUAGAUAUAUAUAUAUAUUCGUACCCGGCCCUCUAGUGAGGGACUCAGUGAUUAUUUAUAUGUAUAUAUAUAUAUAUAUAUUACCGGUAUGAAACCAAUAAUCCAUUAAAUCAACAAUAUAAAUAUUACCGAUAUGAAACCAAUAAUCUUUUAAAUCCGCAAUAUAAAUAUUACCGGUAUGAAACCAAUAUAUAUAUAUAUAUAUAUGUCCACAUCUCUUCAAAUCUUGACACCUAAUCCAAUAUAAAUAUUACCGGUAUGAAACCAAUAAUCUUUCCUUUCAUAUAAUCACAUAAGAUUAUUAUAAGUUUAAUCAAUUUAAGACUCACGGUAAUGCUCGACCCCCAACGCAUAUAAUCUUUCCUUUCAUAUAAUCACAUAAGAUUAUUAUAAGUUUAAUCAAUUUAAGACUCACGGUAAUGCUCGACCCACAACGUAUAAAUACUCGUCACCGUGCCUAUACAUCGGACUCUGCACAUUAACAACUAGCAAAUAGACUCACUCCUAUUCCCUCAAGCUAGGAUAGAUCAAACACUUACCUCGAAGGUUUACAGCAAAAUCAAUCCUUAAGCAAUGCCCUUUCCUUUCGAAUUUGGCUCCAAUUCAAUUGUAUCUAUACAUGAUUAAUUUAAUAUCAUCAAUACUACUCACCAAAAUAUUCCAAAUGGCUAAAUAUAUUUUCUAAAACAUUUUGUCCAAAAAUCACACAAAUAUUGAUGAAGCUCGAUUUCUAAAAGACGGGGUUUUAGCCAUAUAUAUCUUAAAUUCGCCCCUUAAUUCCAAAAAUCACACAAACAUUGAUGAAGCUCGAUUUCUAAAAGAUGGGGUUUUAGCCAUAAAUAUCUGAAAUUCGCCCUUAAUGAUACUACGAUGAUCCAAUAUAGUUAUGUAACUUCAAUCCACAAUACCACAUUCAAUAGGGCCUAUAUUGGUAAAAAAAUUCCAUAACUUAUGCCAUUUAGGUAUUAUCAAAUACCUUGUAUGCAUAGAUAUUUACACCUCAUAACUAUAUAAUCGGUUCCUCCAACUAUCACCAUUAACCAACAAUUCAUCCUACUACUAUUUUUAACAAUUUAUACUCUUAACAUCGCAUGUGUGAUCAACCAUUCACACCCAAACUAAUAAAAAUUUCAUCAAAUAAAUACCUUUAAAUUCCUAUCAUGUUCAUGUAUUUAAAUUGGGAAUUUAUGGCUUCCAACCGCCAUACUAUAAGUUGUAAUACAUGAUUCAUAAUCAUAUUCCCAUAAUAUAUCCAUAUAUAUAAAUCUAAGGUGUAGGAUUUACCUUUUGGAAGAAGAUCUUACAAAACCCUUCUUUGGGUUCUUGAAGGAAUUUCUCAAAAAAUCUAAGUGUUUCUGGAAGAAGGUCUUACAAAACCCUUCUUUGGGUUCUUGAAGGAAUUUCUUGAAAAAUCUAAGUCUUUAUACAAAGAUUUCAUCAAUAUUAGUGUAUAAAUGAAGGAAUUUCACACCAAGAUGAUGGAGAUUACUUACCUUGAAGAUUGGGGGAGUUGAAGCUCUUGAGAGGGUGAAGAAACCCCAAAAUUUUCGAGCUUGGAUGACAAAAAAAUGAAGGAAAGAUGAUACCCCUUCGGUUUUUACACAAACCAGGGGUGUUUUAGAGAUGUUUCAGAGACUAGUCAGGUUGUAGCUCACACAACUCCUUAUAUAACCGGAGAUAUGAUCAUCUAAAGUGAGGUCUUGUGCACACUCAUUUUCAAUUCCGCCUAUUAUGAUAUUUUCUAACUUCAAAAGUUCUCGUUAGCCAUCCGAAAUCAUCCCGAAGCCCCCAGGACCUCAACCAAAAAUACCAAUACAUCAUAUAAUUUUAUUCAAAUUUGUUCCAAGUAUCAAAACACCUCGACUAAUACCAAAAUCAUCGAAUUACGUCGAGUUCAAGUCUAAGUUCCUUUAAAACUUCCAAAACGCGCAUUCGAUCAAAAACCCGACCAAACCACGUCCGAAUAACUUGAAAUUUUGCAUACACAUCACAAAUUAUCAAAUGAAGAUACGACAGCUUCCGGAACUUCAUUUUGACCCUUGGAUCAAAUUUUAACCUAUCAACCGGAAAGUGUCAAAAUACUAACUUCGCCAAUUCAAGCUUAAUUCUGCAUUGGUCAUCACAAAAAUAUUCCGGACACAUUUCUAUGUCCAAAAUCAUCUCCCAAAGAUAACCGAACCAUCGGAAUUCAUAUCUGAUCCCUCUAACUCAUAAGUCAAUGCUUGGUUGACUUUUCCAACUUAUGCCUUCUUAAAAGAGACUAAGUGUCUCAUUUCUUAUCAAAAUCACUCCAAUUCAAUUCUAACGCACCUGAUACCGUUAAUAAAACAUAAUGAAGUAGUAGGGGAACGAGGUGUAAAUUCUAAAAAUGACCAGCCUGGUCGUUAUAUUCUCCCACACUUAAACAUUAGUUCUUCUUCGAACGAGCAUAAGGAACAUACCUGGAAUAGUGAAAAGAUGAAGGUAUCGGCUGCGCAUAUCCCGCUUGAUCUUUCAAUUCGCCUCCUCGGCCGGAUGGCCCCGCCAUUGUACCUUUAUUUAAUAUAUUCCCUUUGGCCUGAGCUUUUCGAACCUGUUUGUCCAAUAUUUCCUCUGGCUCCUCAACAUAGGACAGAUCCUUGUCCAACUUUACUGAGCUGAAAUCCAACACGUGCGAUGGGGCACCGUGAUGCCUCCGAAGCAUUAAGGCAUGAAGUACCGGAUGAACUCAUGCUAAGCUGGGAGGUAAGGCAAGCUCUUAAGGACAUCCCCAACAUGCCUUAAUAUUCCAAAAGGUCCAAUAAACCUUAUACUCAACUUCUCUUUCUUCCCAAAUCUCAUAAUUCCCUUUACAGGGGUCAAAACCUUCUCUCCAUCCAUAGCAGAACCACCACAAACUUUUCGGUCCGCAUAACUACGAGAUUAUAUAGAGUAAAUCCUGAAUCACUUUAAAAUUUUCCAAAGCAUUCUAAAUCAAGUUAGUGCCCAAUAAUCCAACCUCACCAGGCUCGUACCAAUCCACCGGGUCUCUGGUGCUCAUAAUUAACCUGCUCACAGUUGAGGCACCGAGAUACAACCUGACUAGGUUCUAAAAGAUCCAACCUCACAAAUGGAUGGAUAAGGCAUGAACAUUCAUCGCCAUAGGUCUCUUUGAAACUGCUAGGUAAGCCAUUCUAAAAAGAUCUAACCUCACAAAUGGAUGUAUAAGGCAUGAACAUCCAUCACCAUAUGCCUCUUUGACACUGCUAGGUAAGCCAAACUUCCCAAACUCUUUGCCCAGCGACUCAAAGCAUCAACUACUACAUUGGCUUUGCCCAGGUGAUAUAGAUUAGUGAUAUCAUAAUAUUUUUGGAACUCUAACCACAUCCCCUGGCAUAAAUUUUUAGAUCAUUUUGCUUGAAUAUGUGCUACAAGCUCAGACGAUCAAUAUAAAUCUCAAAAGGCACAUCGUACAAAUAAUGAUGCCAAACAUUUAAGGUAUGAACAAUAGCAGUUAACUCAAGAUCGUGGAUAGGAUAAUUUUCCUCAUGUACCUUCAACUAUUUGGAUGCGUAAGCAAUCACCCUAUCGUCAUGCAUCAAAAACACUCCAAGGCCAACCCGUGAAGUAUCACAAUACACCAUAUAAGACCCUGAACCAGUAGGCAAUAUCAAAAUUGGGGUCAUGGUCAAAGUUGUCUUGAGCUUUUGAAAGCUCUAUGCACCACAUGAACAAAAACUGAUGGGUCAUUGGUAAGCCCAAAUGGCAUACAAGAGACUCGCAAUGAUCAUACGAAGUAUUGAAAGCAGUCUACGGGAUAUCUGGCUCCCAAACCUUCGACUGAUGGUAACCUGAGCACAAAUCAAUCUUAUAAAACACUUAUGUGCCCUUAAGCUAGUCAAACAGAUCAUCAAAAAAAGAGGCAAGGAUAACGGUUCUUCAGUGUAGCCUUAUUCAACUAGCGGUAAUCAAUACGCGCUAGUCAAACAGAUCAUCAAAAAAAGAGGCAAGGAUAACGGUUCUUCAGUGUAGCUUUAUUCAACUAGCGGUAAUCAAUACGCAUACGCAUAGAACCAUCCUUUUUCUUCACAAAUAACACAGGAGAAUCCCAAGUGAUACACUAGGCCGAAUAAAACCUUUAUAAGGAUAUUCCUAUAACGGAUUCUUCAACUUAACUGAAGAUUUCACCUCAUCCUUAGUCCAUAACCUAAGGAGAAGACCCAAACUUCAACAUAAAUAACAUUCAUCAUAGGGCCUGAAUUCCACAUUGACACACUGCAUUAGUCUUAUUUCUACAUACUUCAACUUUUAAUAGCACUUAUUAGUUUGAAAUUGUUUUCUUCGCGAUGUUACACUCGCCCCCACUUAGGGUCAUUCAUCCUCAAGUACACGACGUAGCUUAUCUCUUUCUUUGCACGUCUUAAUGUCUCAAAUUUUUGUUUUAACUCCCAAAAUUUUCAGAAAUUUUGGCAGAGCCUCCCCUGUUAUUAGGCAUAUCCACCUGCCAGAGUAACACCAAAACAACUCCUAACAACAUAUCCACAACCCAAUGAAAUACCAAAAUGUCAAUAUAAAUAAUACUAAUCUUUGCAUUACAAGCAUCAUAUUAUCAUAAUGAUAUCUGGACAUGAAAUACGUCAUCAGCAUGCCUAUAACCUCGUCUCUGGCCAUAAUAGUUGUUCAUAAAUGACAAUAUUGCCAAUUAACCUAAUGUUAACAAACAUCUCAUUUCAUACCCCCGCUUUACUCAUUACGAGGCAUGAAGAUCUCAUAAUUACUUACCCGAACUAACGAGUCACAUUUAACGCCACCUGGGUGCCCAUCUCGUAGGCUAAAACUCAAUGUUUACAACACAAAAAUGACUAAAUAUGAAAAGAAAAUAUACAAGAAUUAUCAAAUAAGCCUAUGGCUCUCAUUUUUACAAUAUAGCACAAAAUUUUAAAUUUCAUGAAAUGAGAAUUUUAAACAUAUAAACUUUUCACCGCCAGGACCUUGUUCUUAUAUAAAAUCCAAUGCAGCUUCUGGCUCGGUUCAAAAUAUUUCACAUUAUAUAAAUGUUUGAGGAUAUCACCCUCAGCUCUCAAUCACAUGUAUUUUCACAUUUUGCCAACUCAAAUUUUUUUCAUUUCCUUUCUUUCUCUCUUCAGUAAUUUCUGUCAAAGAGAAUCACAACAUAUAAUGAACCCUCAUACUGAUAGGGCAUAUAAUUUGAAAAUUAAAAUCAAUUAUCCUGAAGUUACAUAAAACCCCAUUGUAGUAAGUAAUAAAAAUUCACUUUUAUUCUUAUAGAUAUUUUUAGUGACCAACACAUAAUGGUAGACAUAAUUAUCUCCAUAUAACUUCCCAACAUGAGUAUUCACAUAAGCAGAUUUUUUUAGAAUGAAGUUCGCUCAUAAGUGGAGUGCAAUAGGAGGACUUGCCUUGAUACUCGGAAUGAAUCAAGUUAACAAAAUUGAUACUCUACAAUAAUUCGAGACCGUACUUGUAACAACACCAUCCGAUGUUGCGACCUCAGCCAUACCAUAGAAAUUAUAUUAAUAGUUGGGUCUCCACCUCUAGGAGUCUCACCUCCACCUCUAGCAUCCUGACUCUUACCCUCUGGCUGGUUAGGUAAGCUAAGUAUUGACUGCAAUGGGGCACGUAGCCUAUGUGCUUUCAUAAAUUAUACUCCUCAAAUCUACAACAUUCACGACAAUUCCCUUGAGGCUCAGCUAGCUUAUUGAACCUGAUGACGUAUUUGGACACCGUCAUGGUGACCUGGCACAAUCUUCAGAUCACAUAUACCAUAUAUUGCACAGAAUUCGGGAAGUAACCUCCUUCAAAACAUUUCUCAGAAUAGAGUUGAGAAGGUAGUAUUACAUUGGCCAGUCUGCCCUCUUCGUAGGCUUGUCACAAAAACCGACGGCCAAUUUUCUCUUUUGCUAUGCUGACUUGACAUUGCUGAACUACCCCAUUUAUUCAUAUACUCUUCAUUAUUCUUUGUGGGCGAUUCUUACCCUGCAGAGUAUCAAACCUUAAAUAUGUAUAAAUUAUUUUGGGAAACCUUUCCGUACCAUAUAUAUACAUUCAAAGUCAAAGCUUACAUAACACAUGGCCAUACAGUCCAUUCACUAAUAGUGGAAUUCACCAUUUGUCGCUAAGACAAAGUCACAACAUCCAAUAAUCCACAAUAUUAGUCCUACACGAUUCAAAUAUAUAUGUGGAAAAUUGUGACUCGGUUUGAUCCGAGGGAUGAAAUUAUACUAUAUUGGCGAUUGCUUCGCACCCUAUAUUAAUGUUAUAUGGGCUUGAUGCCACGUUUGGGGCCUUGUGCCGACCUGUAGGAUCCUUUAAGGAUUGAUAUUUCAGAGUUUGCAUGAUUUGCGUACUAUUUGAAUUCGGUCCAGGGUUUUUAACACUGUUUUUUGUAAACUCAACCAAAAUUCUAUGUUUUGGAAACACAAAUGAUUCUUAAAUGAUAUUUCGGGAUGGCGAUCAUUAUCUCACUAUUUUCUGGACUGUAUAUUAUUUCUUCGAAACGGUGGUAACUAUUGGCACCAUGUGUAUUGAAAUGGAAACGGUGGUAAUUAUUGCCACCGUGUGUAGUGAAAUGGAAACGGUGGUAACUAUUGGCACCAUGUGUUGAAAUGGAAAUAAUGGUAACUAUUGGCACUGUAUGAUAUUGCGCUUGGGCUGAAGGAGCCCCUCCGGAGUCUGAACCCCCACAGUGAGCUCCUUCGAUGUUAAAUCAUAUGCAUGGUUGGCUCGGGCUGCACGCCGAAGCGUAUUCAGGUGCAUUAAAUUGCAUUCAUGCAUUUACUCCUGUUUGUACUACGUAGCAUGACAUUUAGCAAUCAUAUAUCGUUGGCAUACAUACGGUUACUUGCCUUGUUGACCAGAUACCCUGGAGUUAUCGACGUUAAAACAUAUGCAUGGUUGGCUCGGGCUGCACGCCGCAGUGUAUUCAUGUGCAUUGCAUUGCAUACAUGCAUUUACUCCUGUUUGUACUACAUGGCACGAUAUUUAGCACUCAUAUAUCAUUGGCAUACAUACUGUUACUUGCCUUGUUGACCAGAUACCCUGAUUUUAUAUGUUAAGGAGUGUUGAGCCUGAGAGGCUGAUGUUGGAUAUUGUGAGUUGAUAUUGAGCCCUGAUUUUAUAUGUUAAGGGGCAGGUUUCUGAUUAUUUCUUCCGUGUUGAAAUUACCUUUGCAAUUGUUGAAAAAGCAUAUUUCCAAAAGAAAUUUUUGAACUGAACUUGGGAUUUUCGCAGUAUUUCGGCUUUCUCAAAAAGGGUUGUUCUGUCUUAUAUAGCAGUUUGGUGUGCUCAUACGUGUUUUCUUAUCGCUCAGAUAUUAUUCUCUCUUAUUAUCACUGAGUUGGAAGUACUCACUUUACUCCCUGCACCUUGCAUGCAGUUGCAGGUACUGUUCACCCGAUAGCGGGUUAUUAGCAGGAUCGAAGGCCAUAUUCCGGUAAUUGAGCAAGGUGACCGCCAGCGUUCGCGGCACCGCAUUCCAUAAUAGCGGUUUCAGCAGGACCGAAUGCAUUAUUGUGGUAGUUGAGCAAGGUGGCCACCAGCGUUCGCGGCACCGCACCCCAUCUUUGUAUUCCGGUUCAUCUUGUGUAUAUACACAUUGUUAGUCCAGUAGUAUAGUCCCCACUCAUUAGAUGCUCGUGACUUCUAACACCCCGGUAGGGUUGUAUUAGAAUGAAACCUCAUAGUUAAAUGCUAUUAAGUAGUAUUUCUAUUCUCUUAUGUUUAAUAAUUGCUUAAAGCAGUUUUGGGGUUGUUGGCUGGCCUUGUUUUCACGAGAGGCGCCAUCACGACGGGGUAUAGAAUUUGGGUCGUGACAAAAAAUAAUUGAAUUACUAUUUUGUCUAGGGUAAAAUCUAUUUUUAAAGGGUAAAAAAGGCGAACGACAUUUGAAAUGAAGUAUGAUCAUCUACUUGAGAAAAUUGAUAUGUUAGUCAAAGGUGUCACAAGUUCAUCUACUACAUAAUUCGACAUCACUAAGGGCCUUCGAGCUUUUAAUAUAGUAUAGAUUAUUAUUAAAUAUUGAUCGAAUGUAUAUUAAAGCCAAACUAAUAACUCUAAGUGAACAAGAAAGAAAAAAUCAAAUUAAUACAAUAUCAGUCAGGUUGCAUGAAUUUUUUCAGAGAAAGUCAAAAAUAUUAUUUUCAAAAUCAAUAAUGAUGUUAUUUAUGUCCGGCAAAGCGCAACCAAUUUUACUAAGUAUAUAUGAAGAGAGGGGGGGGGGGGGGGGGGGGAAAAAAAANNNNNNNNNNNNNNNNNNNNNNNNNNNNNNNNNNNNNNNNNNNNNNNNNNNNGGGAAUACAUAAACUUUUAUUUAAAUAUUUUCAGGAAGCGGAUUAGUCCGUGAAUAAUACCUUUGGCUGAAUAAAAAUUUUAUACGAAGGAGGAGCAGACCUGUCAAAAAUGAGGUGAGAAGAAGGCAGAAAAAAGAUGAAAAUUUUUACACAGUAAUUAUUAUAAAAUAGAAAAUCGAUCGCUCGACUGUAACUUCAAUACCUACAAAAACUUCAUUAGACAAGUGAGCCUUGCUCAGUUGGUAAAGCACCUUCACAUACGACCGUUAGGUCUUGGAUUCGAGUCACCAGUGAGGAAAAGUAUGAAAACACUAUAGAUUCUCCUAAUUUGUUAAAGGUUUAAAAAAAUAAAACUCUACUAAAGUGCAAGUUUACACAAAUUAGGAUCUUCUAAUUCUUUGUUGUAUUGAUUAAUCUUCACCUAUAAUUUUUUUCUUUUUUCUAUGAAAAGAGAGGGAAAA